CAGCAGCCACGGGAAUACGGAGGGGGCUAGCGUUGUUCGGAAUUACUGGGCGUAAAGCGCACGUAGGCGGCUUGGUAAGUUAGAGGUGAAAGCCUGGAGCUCAACUCCAGAAUUGCCUUUAAGACUGCCGAGCUAGCAGGUGAGAGAGGUAAGUGGAAUUCCGAGUGUAGAGGUGAAAUUCGUAGAUAUUCGGAAGAACACCAGUGGCGAAGGCGGCUUACUGGCUCAUACUGGACGCUGGGGUGCGAAAGCGUGGGGAGCAAACAGGAUUAGAUACCCGCGUAGUCCCUGUCUCUUAUAC
RNAcentral lists this ribosomal RNA (301 nucleotides) under uncultured bacterium. RNAcentral's name for it is "partial 16S ribosomal RNA". It matches the Rfam family "Bacterial small subunit ribosomal RNA", at positions 509 to 807 of the family's 1533-position model. The record is from RNAcentral.